AGGUACUCUGUUAAAAUGUGUUGCCUCCCGUUGAGGAGUUGAGAGACCCUGGAAGCACUUGCCCAUGUGGUGAGGGACAGUUAGCUCCUUAAUGAGGGGCACAGAAGACAUUGUUUUGGGACACAAUGUUGUCAGGGGAGCUGUGUGCAUCUCUGCUUCUUUAUUUUUUGUACAGGUUACAUCUCUGCUGGACACACUAGAUAUUGAAAUCUUUGUUCAUUCUCUUGGUUCUGGUUUGGCUGACCUGUCAGCUGGAGCUGGAGGACAUGCCUGGCAGGGGAGUGACCCCCAUGGGAAAGAGCAGGACUCAGCAGAGUGAAAGCAGCUGGGACCCAGAGAAGCCAGGGAGGUCUGACUCUUAGAAGCCAAAGACCAACAGCAUGGCAGUCAGCCCUGCAGGAAAUGGUACAAGAGAAAAGACCAUCAUACCUGCCAGACUUCCUGAAAUACAGAAAUGACAUCACGGCUGCUAUGUCGGAUUAAUGCCAGGAUAGAUGUCCUCUUCCUGAAGAAGCUGUCAUGGAAAGAAAAGAAAAGAAGGAAUGGAGAUGAUGUUGCUUUACAGAGGGGAACCUCAGGAACCAGCAUGUAACAUGAGGAGGCCAGAAAAACUUGUCUGGGAAUUAUAAGAAUGGACGGAGUAGCUGCCUAUCCCUGUCCCACGGUCUUGUGCACAGAUCAGCCUCACAACAGGAAAGAGCGCUGGAUGGGGAUACAGUGGAAGCUCAUUCUCUUAGUGACUUGUGGACAUUGGCUCGAGAUGAAGCCUGGCAGGAGUGGAAACUCCAGGUCAUUUCUAUACCUUUCCUAUUACCUGGGAGGUGGAUCAUUCCACAGUGUUAGCAGGAAGGGAAUACAAGUCAGCCUAGUUAGAGGGAGUGUCUGGGGAAGGCCUAGGGGUGGAGGAAGAAGCUGUGCAGGACAGGGCUUGCCAGUUAGAAUGAAGUGGGAGGAAGAUGAGGGACACAGAGAAGCAGAGAGAGGCAGAGACAGCAUGGCAGUGAACACUGGGGGCUACAGUGACUUCAGAGACCCCAAGGACCAGGUGCUCCCAUUGCCACAGUCCAGGACCAGGGAGCCCUGAGAACCCUCCAGUGGCCAAAGGGUUUCGACUUACAUGAGGUGGGGUGUCUUUAGGGGCAAGAGGUAGUGGGGGGAUGAAAGAUGGGUGUCAGCCACUGAAGGACAAGGGAAAGGUGUGACCUAGACCUCCUAGGAUUCUGCAUCUGAGAUCCAGUCUCUAAAGAGGUUAUGGAUCAUUCAUUCCUUCAUUCAAUUCCUUCAUUUGCUAUGUGAGAGCACCUGAGUGUGUGUCUCUCACUGGGCCUAUGCUAGUGCAGGGUGUGAGUGGGGAAAGAACACAAGGUCCUGUCCUUUAUCCUGUUAUGCCAGUGACAUAGACACUUUGGGAAACAUAGGAUUUCAGGUUCAGUGAUAGGGGUUAAGAUCUGAGGGGGAGGCCUGGACAUUUUCUGCACUGACUCUGACAGUUGAGGCAGGUGAUUUAGUUCUGGAGUGCAGACUAAUCAGCUGACCAUUUGCUCUCCCUCCUCUGAGGUUUGGAUGUCGAAGAAGAGAGGAUUUGAGCCAAUAAAUGACUAUGGGGUCCUUGGAACCCAGUAAUCCCUCACUUCUGGUGGAGGAGAGGAUGGGCCUGUGGCUGCAGACAGACCUCAUGUGACCCUGAUCUGCCUUUUGUGUUUGUGUGACUCUGGUUCAGUGACUGUGCCUUCCUGUGCCUCAGUUUUCUCUCAGUCAAAUAAGCUAAAUGGCGAAUGGACUGUGGCUUUUCAUGCUAUCUGUGAAUAAAUUGUAAAUUCUUCACAGUCACCUGACCUAAUGCUUGGCACAGUGGAGGUGUUCACACAAAAAGCAUUUAUUAUUAUUCACUUUCACUUCCAUGAGGGCGCACCUUUAGGUCAGAUCCCUGUGGAUAAGUUGCUGCCAAGUACAUUUUCUGUCUUCUGUUUCUGCUUCUGGGGACAUUAGACUUCCUAUGGAGUGUCCUAAGCCUCACAAGGCAGUUGACUGAUGGCCUACAAAGCUUGUCUUUCUGUCCUCUCCACUCUGAGUGUCAGGUGAAGAAAGCUCUGUCCUUGCCCAGAUGAGGCUCUGAGGGCUGAGCCCUGGCUGGUGAGCAGAUCCAGGAGACACAGUCGUCAGACAGCUGGCGAAUCCUUGGUCCCAGUAAGCCCUGCCACAACCCAGCCCUGGCACAGGCUCCUCCACUUUAUCUGGAGUAAGGAUUUAGGGACAGCGGUCUGGGGUUGAGGUUUCUAGGGCUGAGCUUUUCUGAGAGUAUCUCAAGGGGCCUCUUAGGCAAAGCCCUACUCAGUUCUCCAGGGUCUUUCUCAGGGUCAAGUUUAUGAAGAGGGCAUGAGGUGCUUGGCUGAGACUGAUCUCCUCCUGCUGAACACCCCCUCCCCCACCAUCAGACUGUCCUUCCUGUGCAGCAAGUGUCUGGAGGCAGGACAGGAAUUCUUAUCUGUUGUGGUUUGUCUCCUCUGUGUGUGUCCUGCACUAAAUGCCAAAACCGCAACAUGGGAUAUAAUGCAGAGAGGGACACAGGCACAGUCCAGGCCUGACCAUUCUGUGUGUGCAAAGUAAAAGUGACUCCCAACCCCCAACACCCAGGGAUCAUGUGGAAUCACUCACGGUAUAAGGUGAAAUGUCCAGUUACUCCUUUAGUCUCAUCACCUUGCUUUGUUAUUUGAAUGGUGUAGGAUCCUGUGUCAUUCUUGGUGACAUUCUGGAUCAGCAGGGAUGCAUUGGAAUAUACUGUUUCUCGUCCACUGUAUGCAGGCCCAAAUACAAUCAUUUCAGUGUCUAUUGUAUAUGCUGCAAUGUAAUGCUGGAGGUCCAUUAUUUGCCCUU
Non-coding RNA from Macaca mulatta (Rhesus monkey), 2874 nucleotides. The record is from RefSeq and is a predicted model, not a curated record. Lineage: Eukaryota; Metazoa; Chordata; Mammalia; Primates; Cercopithecidae.